GGAAAUCUCACCAGGCCCGGACACUGGAAGGAUUGACAGAUUGAUAGCUCUUUCUUGAUUCAGUGGGUGGUGGUGCAUGGCUGUUCUUAGUUGGUUGAGUGAUUUGUCUGGUUAAUUCCGUUAACGAACGAGACCUUAACCUGCUAAAUAGUGACGCGGUUCAUCGAACCGUGGGCCACUUCUUAGAGGGACUAUCGGAUUCAAACCGAUGGAAGUGUGAGGCAAUAA
RNAcentral lists this ribosomal RNA (228 nucleotides) under uncultured eukaryote. Its description in RNAcentral is "partial 18S ribosomal RNA". It matches the Rfam family "Eukaryotic small subunit ribosomal RNA", at positions 1208 to 1456 of the family's 1831-position model. The record is from RNAcentral.